Molecule: long non-coding RNA, 1107 nt
Organism: Esox lucius (northern pike)
Lineage: Eukaryota; Metazoa; Chordata; Actinopteri; Esociformes; Esocidae
Source: Ensembl
GAGUUAUCUGCUUUGUUUGGCCUUCUUUAUCUGAGGUCAAGUUAAAAAAAAAAUUGCGUUGAUUAUUUUAAUUUGGGGUCUUUGAUUGUUGAUUGGGGUUAGAGUGUGGUGGUUUAUGGUAUUGUGAUUUGGUUUGCUGCUGUCCGAAUUCCCUCUGGAACUAGAACUGGUGGAACUGUUUUCAAGCAAUAUCCCCAGGAUGUUCAUACCAGGGUCGUUGGUCGACAACUUGUUAGCAAACACCAACAAUGUAUUUAAGUAUUAAUAUUUCAACCAUCAAAGCAGAGUCUUCCGUCCUCAAGCAGAACGUUGGGAAAGGAACUGUCCUGGCAUCCCCUCGCUCCUGCUUGCAUUCAGUCUAUUCUUAAGCUAACACACCUGAAUCAACUUGUCUGAGAGCCCUUGACCAGUGGAUUCUAGUGAGCUUGUUCAGGACUACAAUAAAACUGAGACAUCAGAGGUUUGUGAACGUCUGAUCUAGAACCAUCUGCUUCAAUGGUUACUUUCCCUAAAAAUGGGGUCUCGUCAGUGCUUGCCUCAACAGCUGCCAAUGACUGGGUCUUUCUGAACCCAUUAAAAAGUCCCUUGAUCUCACAUUUCUAUUUGAUUUCAGGCAAUGCUGUGUGGAUUUACACCACUAAUCCGGUUACCUGUCACCAGAGUAGCAGCACUGUUUACUGACACGUGGAGCUAGCAAGCCUGCCCUGUGCUUCCACAAGUCAACAUGACAUGGAGCUUCAAGUUGGAUUCUAUUACAGAAUAUUCUCGCAUUCUAAACAUAGGAUUCUUUCUACUUGCCGUCAGAGAAUUCCACAGCACCAAAUCAAAGGAUAUCUGAAACCCUUUAAUGUGUCACUUUGUUUUAUUAGUAUCUUUGUAUAUCCCUUUCUUCCUCACAUCCCCCUGUAUUUUAACCCCCUCUUUCUUUCUACCUCUGUCUCCUGUAUAUAACCCCAGGCCCCCUCCCCACUGUUUCAAGACCCGUCGGUCUAUAUGAACUCCUUUUAUACCUCAACUUUAGAAUUGUUCUAGAACAAGUAAAAAGAAACAAUAUUUCAAGUUGUAGUGUUCCUUAUUAGACAAAACUAAUAAAAUAAUUUAGUGUGC